This 74-nucleotide transfer RNA is filed under the name Clostridia bacterium. RNAcentral's name for it is "tRNA-Gln". It matches the Rfam family "tRNA". From Rfam's summary of the family: Transfer RNA (tRNA) molecules are approximately 80 nucleotides in length. Their secondary structure includes four short double-helical elements and three loops (D, anti-codon, and T loops). Further hydrogen bonds mediate the characteristic L-shaped molecular structure. tRNAs have two regions of fundamental functional importance: the anti-codon, which is responsible for specific mRNA codon recognition, and the 3' end, to which the tRNAs corresponding amino acid is attached (by aminoacyl-tRNA synthetases). tRNAs cope with the degeneracy of the genetic code in two manners: having more than one tRNA (with a specific anti-codon) for a particular amino acid; and 'wobble' base-pairing, i.e. permitting non-standard base-pairing at the 3rd anti-codon position. The record is from RNAcentral. RNAcentral also lists the same sequence under 4 other names. Lineage: Bacteria; Bacillati; Bacillota; Clostridia.
UGCGGGAUGGUGUAGCGGUAGCACGCGUGGCUCUGGACCACGUAGCCUAGGUUCGAAUCCUAGUCCCGCAGCCA